Molecule: small nuclear RNA, 105 nt
Organism: Tupaia belangeri (northern tree shrew)
Lineage: Eukaryota; Metazoa; Chordata; Mammalia; Scandentia; Tupaiidae
Source: Ensembl
UUCUUCUGUUCAGCAAGACAUAUACUAAAAUUGAAACAAUACAGAGAAGAUUGAUGUGGCCCCUGCGUAAAGAUGGCAUGCAAAUUCAUGGAGCAACCAGUUUUU